RNAcentral lists this ribosomal RNA (497 nucleotides) under uncultured bacterium. RNAcentral's name for it is "partial 16S ribosomal RNA". It matches the Rfam family "Bacterial small subunit ribosomal RNA", at positions 28 to 507 of the family's 1533-position model. The record is from RNAcentral.
GAUGAACGCUGGCGGCGUGCCUAAUACAUGCAAGUCGAGCGAACAGACGAGGAGCUUGCUCCUCUGACGUUAGCGGCGGACGGGUGAGUAACACGUGGAUAACCUACCUAUAAGACUGGGAUAACUUCGGGAAACCGGAGCUAAUACCGGAUAAUAUAUUGAACCGCAUGGUUCAAUAGUGAAAGACGGUUUUGCUGUCACUUAUAGAUGGAUCCGCGCCGCAUUAGCUAGUUGGUAAGGUAGCGGCUUACCAAGGCAACGAUGCGUAGCCGACCUGAGAGGGUGAUCGGCCACACUGGAACUGAGACACGGUCCAGACUCCUACGGGAGGCAGCAGUAGGGAACCUUCCGCAAUGGGCGAAAGCUUGACGGAGCAACGCCGCGUGAGUGAUGAAGGUCUUCGGAUCGUAAAACUCUGUUAUUAGGGAAGAACAAAUGUGUAAGUAACUAUGCACGUCUUGACGGUACCUAAUCAGAAAGCCACGGCUAACUACGUG